Molecule: non-coding RNA, 1276 nt
Organism: Ciona intestinalis (vase tunicate)
Lineage: Eukaryota; Metazoa; Chordata; Ascidiacea; Phlebobranchia; Cionidae
Source: RefSeq, a predicted model, not a curated record
CAUUUAACAAACUUUCAUUUUAGCAUUAAUUACUUAUUUAUUUCAGCGUUGCAAUUCAAUAAUGGUAUUAAAUGGAGUAUAAGCAAACUAUUUUGGUUUUCGAUCUAAUAUCUUUUGUUGAAAGUGUUGAGUUUCAAUACAAAUAAGAUACUGCUUGGAAUUGUGUAAGGCAACUCAAUGCUACAAGCAUGUUGAUCUCCGUAUCAUAUUUGGCAGUUACAAUUCAAAAUGGUUUAGAUUCGUUGUUUUGUUUUGUUUCAAUUGGUAUUCAACUGGCACAAACCUCCGGAUUAAAAGUUGUAUAACCAGCGUUUUGUCAAAAUAAGCAGAAUUUUGAUCCGGAUUGGAAAUACCAGUUGAAAUAGAUAAAAGAUUUGUAACAAAGAUUUGGAAACGUAACAAAGAUUUGGAAACGUAACUGGAAGGAGUUUGUUGAAUCCUUGUCGGUCUUCGUCACGGCCUACUGACGUCACCAGGCCAUCUACGUCACCAACUGUCUCUUCAUCGUUAUUCUGCGUAGUUUUCAAACCUAUUUAAGCCUAUAUAUAACAGACUGUUGCAACUUAACGUCACCGACCGUUUUCGUCCAAAAGGAGUUCGUUUUAAAGAAUCGCAAUGGUCAGCUGUUGAUACAGACCUGCCUACGAGAACAACUACAACGUUACUGUUUCUGUCAUGCUGUUUCAAGUAUUGUCAGGCAUCAAUUUCUGCACGUACAAUUCAAGACAGAGAGGGGCAAAGACGAAAAUUAAAGUUUCACAUUUUGUUAAAAAGCGCAAACAAGGCAACAUGUUGCUCUGUUUGGUGGAGGGCGCUCAACCGCACUGCGUUCUACCCAUUAGUUUGGGUUGUCGUCAUUUCUGGUUUAGUGUAGCUGUAAGUGCAGUCAGCUGCGCAUUCGGUUUUGCAGCAAGACCGUAUAGUUAACUCGCGCCUCACCCUUUUAACGUUAAUUAUCCCUUUACCAAUACCUCUAUUCCUUAAGUCGCGUUAGAACACUUCCCAACACUGUCACACAAACUCUUAGUUCGCGUAAAACGAGAAAGUUUAGUAAUGACGACAUAAAAACGAUGAACGAAAUGAGAAGACGCCACGUGCCCACAGGGGUACAGAGAAAUUGUAUCCGGGUCCUGCAGACGUAGAGGACGAAGAGGAAUGGAUGGAACACAAGCUUCAGCAUCAAUAUAUGCUACAUAUCGCAGUAUUGGUGAACGGUAUGUCAAUAUUUCUGUUAUAGGCGAUCGGGUCACGGGCGCGUGAUAUUUUUUAGGGACGU